RNAcentral lists this long non-coding RNA (504 nucleotides) under Mytilus galloprovincialis (Mediterranean mussel). Lineage: Eukaryota; Metazoa; Mollusca; Bivalvia; Mytilida; Mytilidae. The record is from RNAcentral.
UAAAAUGUCCAGGCCACCGUUUCACAAAGCCUUCUUAACUUACGAUGAUCGUAUCAGUUUACGAUCGGUUUACGUGUGGUUCUACGUUCCCGUUACGUGUGUUUCACAAAGGCAUCGUAAAGAACUACUAAGUUGAUCGCAAGUUACGUCGUGUGUAUCAUCGUAAGUGUAUCGUAAACCGAGAAGAGUGCUUUCUUUCACGUCCGCACUUUUAUCGAGUAUGGCAUGCCAAAUAAACAUUUUUAAAAAUAAUUAUUAUGGAUGGCGAAUUAUGGAGAUAUUUUUAUAUCAACAUUAAUACAACUAAAGAAUUUUAGUCCGUUUUCAAUAUUAAUUCAAGAUAUAUGACGCUUACAGUCAUAGGACAAAAGUGAGUUCCCACUCAAAAAAUGUCCGAUCAUUUCAACUAAAAUCGGUAUUUUUCAAAAAAAUAUUACCAAGUAAGUCUAUGAGUGAUUUUUAUAAAAUAGAUACCAUAAGAUGCAGAAAUGUCUGAAGUUUAAU